GACAAUGAAAUAUGGGAUGCGAAGAAGUGAUUACUGUAUGGUCGCUUAUGUAGAACCAUCCAAAGCCCAUGUCCAAACAACAUAUUCAUGGAAGAAUGACAUCACCAACACAGAAUGUGCAGUCACUAUGGAAAUGGCCCCCGAAGGAUCAAGAGAAAUCUAUUACAGCUAAAGAAUAAAAAAGGUGGUGAGGAAAAUGCCUAUCGGGAUCAAAUUGGAGGUAAAAUUUAACCCGAGCAGUAUUGUUUCCAAGAAAGAAAACUUUGUGAUGUGCCUUGAAUUUAAGCCUGGAAGGUGGGAGCUGAACCAACAGCUUUAAUCUCACUUCUGAAGAUUUGCUCAGCCCACAUAUUUGGCACCACUAGAUGAACUAUUGCCAUGAAGGAUGGGACCAUGAGAGAUCUGUGCUUGGCAGUUGAAGAACUUAAUUUUCUAAUGAUCACUUGGCUGGCUGGAUCUAAUAAAUCUUCAUCUCGACAAGCCUGUGCCCAUGUGUGCUGAAAUGCUUCUUCCUCAUUUUUACUCAUCAGUGGGAGACUCUGGUUCCAAGAUUCAGAAGGGGACUAAUUACUAAGCUGUUCUUAAAGACAAGAACGAAUUUUGCACCUGAGUGCUUACAAGUCAAGCAUAGGGGAAAAAUUAACCACUUUUAGGAAUACCAAUUAGAAGUAAUAUUAUCUUGAUUGGCCUGCAAAUACCCAAAUGACUCACUGAGUGCAUUCCA
Molecule: non-coding RNA, 724 nt
Organism: Peromyscus maniculatus bairdii (prairie deer mouse)
Lineage: Eukaryota; Metazoa; Chordata; Mammalia; Rodentia; Cricetidae
Source: RefSeq, a predicted model, not a curated record